Long non-coding RNA from Pseudophryne corroboree (corroboree frog), 2343 nucleotides. RefSeq lists it as uncharacterized. The transcript is spliced from 6 exons. The record is from RefSeq and is a predicted model, not a curated record. NCBI's taxonomy places the organism in Eukaryota, Metazoa, Chordata, Amphibia, Anura, Myobatrachidae.
AAGGAACCACGUGAGAAACACUGUCAGGCACAGUAAAAGUGCCGGAAAGAGCACUGUGAGCAGAAACCACAUGCAAUACCCCAGGCUGGCCAGCAGAUGGCGCAACAGCCCAUGCAACAAGCCCCUCAAAGCAGGCAGUACAAUCUGGGAAACAGGGAAUGCAGUAAGACCAUCCCCAAGGGACUGCUGGGCAGGGAAGGAGGAGGACGCGAGCACGGCGGGAACCAUAGCAGAAAAGCCCGCGUGGGAAACUAACAGACUGGACACACCGCCACCAACCUGCACCAGGCCACUAACACCCGCAGGCGUCACGGCCGGACCCACAGAGGGGAGGUUAAUGGCUCCCCCAAAACUCGGAGCCUCUGCAUAGGGGCCCACGUGACCCACCACAGUACUACUUGUGGCGCCACCCAGGCCUGCCACAGGAGCUGCCAGAGGAGAUGGUUCACCCGCCACCAGAGCCCCCUCCACAGUGGAUGUGGCCGUGAUACCACGACCACCACCUUAUGGAGCAGAUGGAGGUAAAAGCGGGCGAGGCGGGGGGGGAGGCAACCACAUGGACGCCUAUAGCCCGCAGCUGCGAGCGGGUGAGCCACAUCCACAAGGCGGCAGGGAGGGGUGCAGAUCUACGCAGGUGAGGCAUGGCAGGAAGAAAGCAAAGGCAGGGAGUGAAGAAAUGGAAGCAGGAGGGAGAUUAGCAAUGGAGACAGAAAAGGAGCAAAAAAGGGGAUAUAAAAGAGAAAUAAAAGGAAUCAAAUGGACAGAUAUAACCAAUACUGUGAGAAUAAAAAUAUGUGUACUCAGCCUUCCAAAAUGGCAAAGAGAAAGAUGGCCCUCAGGUCCUGUCUAUAAAUACUAUACUAUACACUCCUCCAGAUAAGCAGCAUGCCUAUAUUCUGUGUGUAAUAGCAACUGUAUCUGCAUACAACAUUUUAUGCUACAGUGUAUUCCUGCCAAACACUGUAACAUAAUUUGGUUUACUGAUACAGUCACAAUUCCACAUAGAAUAUAGCCAUGCCGCAUAUCAUUUAAAUCAGUAUAAGCUGUGCGUCCUGAAGGACUAGGGUUUUUUUUUAUGGUGUGUGUUGCUUUAUACAUGACUUUUAGGGGACAAUGGGUGACAAUGGGUGACUGUGGUCCUCCUAUACUAAAAGACGCAUUCCAGUUGGUCUGAAAGUAUUGGACGUUUUCUAGUUUAAAUUCCACCUUGGAUCUGAUAUGAAGAAAGCAAGAGAAUACAUGCAUGCCAUUACAUUAGCAGAGUUCGGGGAAAUAGAUGCACAUUUGUAUUAUUUGAUGCGGUGCGAUAAUUUCCUGCGUGGCAUUAUCGGCUCCCAUUUCAUCCUGGCCUAAAUUCUUUGUCAGUUUUAGUAUUGUUUUGUGUCCGACUUUCAAUAUCAGACUCCAUUACAUUGGCCGAGUUGUAAACUUAACAUGGGCAAAACAUCUGGAUCUGAAUUUUCAUUGGGAUCCCUACGUUAGAGCCAAAAGCGUCUGAAAAAUCCGGUUUGUAGCACUCCCAUUACAGUCCUUAAAAAUAUUGUUCUUUGAAGAAGCUCAAUGAAAACUUUCUAAUCUGCCCACUGAAUGAGAAAGAAACAAACAGUAUCUGUUUACGAUCCCGGGGCACAGGUUCCUGGUUGUUGGAAUACCGAUGCCGGAAUCCCAACACUGCUCAGAAUGCCGGCACAGAGUACUGAAAUAGAUCACAAUCCCAGUGACGGGAUCCCAAUUGAAGGUUUGCCGGAGGUGCGAACAGUUAUUUACAGGAUGGACUCAGGAUCCUGGCUCCCAGGAAGACGGCAGUCAUAAAACUGACAGUGGCAUUCCCGACGCUUAGAAUCCCGACACCUAGUAGCCUAACUCUCCUCAGUGGUGCCCAACACUAACCCCACCUCCCCACAGCCUAACCCUAACCCUCCCGCAGCAUCCAAAGCCUAAUCUCCCGCAGUGACUUACCUCUAUGCUGAGCCGGCAAAUCUUCGGUCGGGCUCCCGACACUGGCAUUCCAAGUAGUGUUAAGGUCACUGUCACAGCAAUUACACUGUUUUGUAUAUUGAUGAAUUGUAUUUGAUAAAUACGAAUACUAUAAUAUCUUUCAUACCCACGGCAAAAAGCUGGUUGGGAUUCAGAGACUUACAAACUUUGACCACAUCGGUAUAUCACGACCCCUGAUGAAGUCCUGUGUGGACGAAACGCGUUGGGUAUUCGCGCAAUUGUGAAUUUGAACACACUUCUGAACGCUUUGGUAGAAAUAUCACCAACAUAUAUGUCAUCAGAUUAUUAGUUUGUAUUUUCCAUUUAUGGUACAAAGUCAAUUGCAUGUUUUAUUGAUAUUUUUAU